GAUGAACGCUGGCGGCGUGCCUAAUACAUGCAAGUCGAGCGAACAGAUGAGGAGCUUGCUCCUCUGACGUUAGCGGCGGACGGGUGAGUAACACGUGGAUAACCUACCUAUAAGACUGGGAUAACUUCGGGAAACCGGAGCUAAUACCGGAUAAUAUAUUGAACCGCAUGGUUCAAUAGUGAAAGACGGUUUUGCUGUCACUUAUAGAUGGAUCCGCGCCGCAUUAGCUAGUUGGUAAGGUAACGGCUUACCAAGGCAACGAUGCGUAGCCGACCUGAGAGGGUGAUCGGCCACACUAGAACUGAGACACGGUCCAGACUCCUACGGGAGGCAGCAGUAGGGAAUCUUCCGCAAUGGGCGAAAGCCUGACGGAGCAACGCCGCGUGAGUGAUGAAGGUCUUCGGAUCGUAAAACUCUGUUAUUGGGGAAGAACAAAUGUGUAAGUAACUAUGCACGUCUUGACGGUACCUAAUCAGAAAGCCACGGCUAACUACGUG
Molecule: ribosomal RNA, 497 nt
Filed under: uncultured bacterium
Lineage: Bacteria
Description: partial 16S ribosomal RNA
Rfam family: Bacterial small subunit ribosomal RNA
Source: RNAcentral